UCCUCUUUACAGAGGCAGUUUGUCUCGAGUCCCCGGCAUUAUCCGCUGGUAACAAAACAUGAGAGUUGCGCUCGUUGCGGGACUUAACCCAACAUUUCACAACACGAGCUGACGACAGCCAUGCACCACCUGUGCACCACCCUCGAAGGCGGCCCCGUUUCGGGGGAUUGCAGGUGCAUGUCAAGCCCUGGUAAGGUUCUUCGCGUUGCAUCGAAUUAAGCCAUAUGCUCCACCGCUUGUGCGGGCCCCCGCCAAUUCCUUUGAGUUUCAGCCUUGCGGCCGUAGUCCCCAGGCGGUUCACUUAAUGCGUUAGCUGCGGCACCGAAGGAAACCCCCCGACACCUAGUGAACAUAGUUUAGGGCUAAGACUAC
Molecule: unclassified non-coding RNA, 372 nt
Filed under: uncultured bacterium
Lineage: Bacteria
Description: contains 16S-23S intergenic spacer region
Source: RNAcentral